CCUACGGGAGGCAGCAGUGGGGAAUAUUGGGCAAUGGACGCAACUCUGACCCAGCAACGCCGCGUGAAUGAUGAAGGUCUUCGGAUUGUUAAGUUCUUUUCUAAGGGAAGAAGAAAGUGACGGUACCUUAGGAAUAAGCCUCGGCUAACUACGUGCCAGCAGCCGCGGUAAUACGUAGGAGGCAGGCAUUAUCCGGAAUGACUGGGCGUAAAGGGUGCGUAGGUGGUUUGACAAGUUAGUAGCGCAACUCCGGAGCACAACCUCGGAACUACUACUAAAACUGAUGGACUUGAGUGCAGGAGGGGCAAUCGGAAUGCGUGGUGUAGCGGUGGAAUGCGUAGAUAUUACGAGGAACACCAGUGGCGAAGGCGGAUUGCUAGACUGUAACUGACACUGAGGCACGAAAGCGUGGGGAGCAAACAGGAUUAGAUACCCCAGUAGUC
This 443-nucleotide ribosomal RNA is filed under the name uncultured bacterium. RNAcentral describes it as "partial 16S ribosomal RNA". It matches the Rfam family "Bacterial small subunit ribosomal RNA", at positions 338 to 795 of the family's 1533-position model. The record is from RNAcentral.